Molecule: ribosomal RNA, 399 nt
Filed under: uncultured bacterium
Lineage: Bacteria
Description: bacterial SSU rRNA
Rfam family: Bacterial small subunit ribosomal RNA
Source: RNAcentral
UUAGGAAUCUUCCACAAUGGGCGAAAGCCUGAUGGAGCGACGCCGCGUGAGGGAUGAAGGCCUUAGGGUUGUAAACCUCUAAAAGAGGGACGAUAAUGACGGUACCUCUUGAAUAGCACCGGCUAACUCCGUGCCAGCAGCCGCGGUAAUACGGAGGGUGCAAGCGUUAUCCGGAAUCACUGGGCGUAAAGGGCGCGUAGGCGGGCUGUUAAGUCCGAUGUUAAAUCCCGGGGCUCAACCCCGGAUCAGCGUUGGAUACUGGCAGGCUAGACGGUUGGAGANGCGAGUGGAAUUACCAGUGUAGCGGUGAAAUGCGUAGAUACUGGUAGGAACACCCAUUGCGAAGGCAGCUCGCUGGAAAACACGUGACGCUGAGGCGCGAAAGUGUGGGGAGCAAAC